UCCCUGGUGGUCCAGUGGUUAGGACUUGGUGUUUUCACUGCCGGGCCGCAGGUUCAAUCCCUGUUCAGGGAA
This is a non-coding RNA of Budorcas taxicolor (takin), 72 nucleotides long. The record is from the annotation of a RefSeq genome assembly. Lineage: Eukaryota; Metazoa; Chordata; Mammalia; Artiodactyla; Bovidae.